UUUCAUUUAAGUAUAUUAAAUACAUUAAGUUUAGAACUUAAAAAUGAAAAAAAUGAAAA
This 59-nucleotide transfer RNA is filed under the name Panonychus ulmi (European red spider mite). RNAcentral's name for it is "tRNA-Leu". The record is from RNAcentral. Lineage: Eukaryota; Metazoa; Arthropoda; Arachnida; Trombidiformes; Tetranychidae.